This 456-nucleotide ribosomal RNA is filed under the name uncultured Sphingobacteriales bacterium. RNAcentral's name for it is "bacterial SSU rRNA". It matches the Rfam family "Bacterial small subunit ribosomal RNA", at positions 924 to 1382 of the family's 1533-position model. Lineage: Bacteria; Pseudomonadati; Bacteroidota; Sphingobacteriia; Sphingobacteriales. The record is from RNAcentral.
CACAAGCGGAGGAGCAUGUGGUUAAUUCGAUGAUACGCGAGGAACCUUACCUGGGCUCGAACGUAAGAUGACUGUAGGUGAAAGCUUACAUCUCUUCGGAGCAUUUUACGAGGUGCUGCAUGGUUGUCGUCAGCUCGUGCCGUGAGGUGUCGGGUUAAGUCCCAUAACGAGCGCAACCCCUACCUUUAGUUGCCAUCAGGUUAAGCUGGGGACUCUAAAGGAACUGCCUACGCAAGUAGUGAGGAAGCGGGGAUGACGUCAAAUCAGCACGGCCCUUACGUCCAGGGCUACACACGUGCUACAAUGGCCGAUACAGAGGGCAGCUACCUGGUGACAGGAUGCAAAUCUCCAAAGUCGGUCUCAGUUCGGAUCGGAGUCUGCAACCCGACUCCGUGAAGUUGGAUUCGCUAGUAAUCGCGCAUCAGCCAUGGCGCGGUGAAUACGUUCCCGGGCCUU